UGCAAAUCAUGUGAGUCUAUGUGGUAAAUACAGGGAUGUCCACACAACCAGCAACAUAUGAUCAGUGUCCUCUCCACAGUCACUGAGCACACAGGUCCUCACCAUGGGAUGGAGCUGGAUCACCCUCUUCCUGGUGACAGCAGCUACAGGUGUCCACUCCCAGGUCCAGCUGCAGCAGUCUGGGGCUGAGCUGGUGAAGCCUGGGUCCUCAGUGAACUUGUCCUGCAAGACUUCUGGCUACACCUUCACUAGCUAUCUUAUGAGCUGGGUAAAACAGAAGCCAGCACAGGGCCUGGAGUGGAUUGCAUGGAUUAAUCCUUCUCAUGGUAAUACUGACUACAAUCAGAAAUUCAAGAGCAAGGUCACACUCACUGCAGAGAAAUCCUCCAGCACAGUCUACAUGGAGCUCAGCAGCCUGACAUCUGAGGACUCUGCAGUCUAUUACUGUGCAAGACACAGUGUUUCAACCACAUCAUGA
Cricetulus griseus (Chinese hamster) is the source of this 478-nucleotide non-coding RNA. NCBI's taxonomy places the organism in Eukaryota, Metazoa, Chordata, Mammalia, Rodentia, Cricetidae. The record is from the annotation of a RefSeq genome assembly.